This 24-nucleotide non-coding RNA is filed under the name Rattus norvegicus (Norway rat). The record is from RNAcentral. Lineage: Eukaryota; Metazoa; Chordata; Mammalia; Rodentia; Muridae.
UGUGGUCUCGACAUCUUCAUCGGU